RNAcentral lists this small nucleolar RNA (126 nucleotides) under Castor canadensis (American beaver). RNAcentral's name for it is "Small nucleolar RNA SNORA14 (ENSCCNG00000000331.1)". It matches the Rfam family "Small nucleolar RNA SNORA14". From Rfam's summary of the family: ACA14 is a member of the H/ACA class of snoRNA that guide the sites of modification of uridines to pseudouridines. Lineage: Eukaryota; Metazoa; Chordata; Mammalia; Rodentia; Castoridae. The record is from Rfam by way of RNAcentral.
UUGCAUUCUCAAACCCUUUUUGCAGCACUGCUCUCUGUGCUUCCAUGAAUGCGAGAGAAAUUACCAAGGAGUCCAAAAGGGUGUACUUUUCCUGUGGCUCAUUCUUAUUUCACACCCAUGACAUCU